RNAcentral lists this long non-coding RNA (1120 nucleotides) under Callithrix jacchus (white-tufted-ear marmoset). RNAcentral describes it as "lncRNA (ENSCJAG00000070836.1)". The record is from RNAcentral. Lineage: Eukaryota; Metazoa; Chordata; Mammalia; Primates; Cebidae.
AAUGAAAGGCACUAAUUGGACAUUGCACUUCAAGAACUGUGCAGUCUCCCGAAGGGUGGGGUGCAUGAGUUGAAAACAUUUUAAGAAAUAUACACAAGGAAGUGCAAUUCAGUGUAGAAGAGAAAGAACACAGAUGCACGACACUGCAGGGGCAGAGGAAAGAGAAAGAAUACAGAUGCACGACACUGCAGGGGCAGAGGAAAGAGAAAGAACACACAUGCACGACACUGCAGGGGCAGAGGAAAGAGAAAGAACACAGAUGCACGACACUGCAGGGGCAGAGGAAAGAGAAAGAACACACAUGCACGACACUGCAGGGGCAGAGGAAAGAGAAAGAACACACAUGCACGACACUGCAGGGUCAGAGGAAAGAGAAAGAACACACAUGCACGACACUGCAGGGGCAGAGGAAAGAGAAAGAACACACAUGCACGACACUGCAGGGGCAGAGGGAAGAGAAAGAACACACAUGCACGACACUGCAGGGGCAGAGGAAAGAGAAAGAACACAGAUGCACGACACUGCAGGGGCAGAGGAAAGAGAAAGAACACACAUGCACGACACUGCAGGGGCAGAGGGAAGAGAAAGAACACACAUGCACGACACUGCAGGGGCAGAGGAAAGAGAAAGAACACACAUGCACGACACUGCAGGGGCAGAGGAAAGAGAAAGAACACACAUGCACGACACUGCAGGGGCAGAGGAAAGAGAAAGAACACACAUGCACGACACUGCAGGGGCAGAGGAAAGAGAAAGAACACAGAUGCACGACACUGCAGGGGCAGAGGAAAGAGAAAGAACACACAUGCACGACACUGCAGGGGCAGAGGGAAGAGAAAGAACACACACGCACGACACUGCAGGGGCAGAGGGAUGGCAUUUUCAGGAUGGGAGCAAGGAACAUUUCAUGGAGUACGCAUUGGAUUUGAGCUUGCCCUUGAGGAUCUGCACUACAGAAAGAAGAAGAUUUAUUUUUUGGAUGAAUAGAAAUCGUAUGUAUGAAAACGCGCUGUUUGGAAACCUGUACCUGUUGUGGAGUGGCCACACGGAGCUAACAACUGGAAACCUGUACCUGUUGCGGAGUGGCCACACGGAGCUAACAACAUGCUUUUCCUUGUGA